Long non-coding RNA from Acinonyx jubatus (cheetah), 1440 nucleotides. RefSeq lists it as uncharacterized. NCBI's taxonomy places the organism in Eukaryota, Metazoa, Chordata, Mammalia, Carnivora, Felidae. The transcript is spliced from 3 exons. The record is from RefSeq and is a predicted model, not a curated record.
AAAAACAUGUCCUUUGUGGUCCCUGUAACCCCCCCUAGAAGGCAAGGUUCUGUCGUGUUCAAGGUUCACGACACUGCUCACCCAAGGUGGAGCAGAACAGCAAUGGAUUCCAUCACAGUGAUGCAGAUUGAUCAUGGAUGGGGUUUGGAGUGUUGUUUGUGCUUUCGUGUUCUGAGGUCUGGAGAGGAGAAAGCCCUGUCUCUCUGCUCUGGAGCUGUCUAGAACUCGUUCAACAUAGAGAGUCCCAUCUAGACACUUUAAGGUUGUGAGGGCAAUCAACCAGAGGAGAACACUUUUUUUAGUUUCCAAGCAAGGAGAAGGCGUAGGUAACUGUCGAUCAGGGUUGUAGGUAAGUGUUGAUCACCGAACGUGGUGGAUGCGUGGCUGUUUUUCUGAUCUUCAACUGGGAGGGCCACGUUGACACAGAUGAAAACAUUUCAGCCUAAUGUAAACAUUAGAUUUAGCCUUCCGUCGAUCUCUAAAACAGAAACCCAGAUUGUUGGGUUCUGUUGCGAGAUAUUUUUUUCAAUGUUUAUUUACUUUUGAGAGAGAGAGAGAGAGACAGAGAGAGAGCGAGAGAGAGUGAGCCAGGGAGGGCCGGCAGAGGAUGUGGGGUGGGCUCUGGGCUGAUAGCAGAGAGCGCAAUGUGGAGCUGAAACUCACAAACAGUGAGAUCCUGACCUCAGCUCAAGUCGGACACUCACCUACAGAGCCGCCCAGGCGCCCCAGAUUGUCAGGUGUUUAAAUCAACAAGGCUUUCUAGAUUUCAACAAAGAAACGGUGACAAAGAAAGCUGAAGUCUCCAGUGGAAUGCCAGCUAGUAAACGUAGACGAAAUAGUGCAGUGAGCUGUUCGGUUUCCUCCAAGAUUUAACAGAUGUGAACGUUUUAGAAUUUGGCCUCCGGUCUCCUUUGCCAAACAAAAGGCAACAAGCUGCAUCAUAUCGGACACCAGCGCCUUCUCCCUUGCUGUCCUCCUUUGCCAGAGGUGAGACAAGCUGAGUGUCAUCGUCAGAAAGAAGGCAGCUGACAGUUCACUUCCAAUGUGACUCUUUUCUCCAGAUGAUACUUCCGUGUGACCCAAGCCAGUGCGGUCCCCAGAAACCCAGAGUAAAUUCCAUAUUAUCUGAUAGAACGUCUUACACUUGGAGUCAGAGACUCAGUAUAUUCAAGCAUGAGGAAUUGGAAACAAAAGAUAAUCAGGAGAAAAUGUAGUUUGGAUUAUUUUAUUCUACUCAGACCCAUAAAGUAGAGACAUGCAAGAAAUAUCAGUUGAACACAGGAAACAAAGACGAGGGAAGGAUGCAAGUGGUUAAUAGUGACCUGACUGGUGACUCUGACUCCUUAGCUUCAAUGGAUAGCACCGUGCUGGCCACCAGCAGGGCGGCCAGGAAACAGCGUCCCAGGCUGUGGCUCAGGAAGGGGCUGUUGCAGGUGGGAC